Molecule: transfer RNA, 63 nt
Filed under: Micromonospora zamorensis
Lineage: Bacteria; Bacillati; Actinomycetota; Actinomycetes; Micromonosporales; Micromonosporaceae
Also listed under: 4 other names
Description: tRNA-OTHER
Source: RNAcentral
GGUGCGCAGGCAACGGCUACUUCCGCUCUCAACGGGGAGACGUGGGUUCGAAUCCCACCGCCA